GCUGACACCAACUUCUGGACCCAAUGCACGACCAAUGAGAUAGUAAGGGCCACCACCCUUCAUGGCACCAUUGCUUGCAAUAGCACUUAAUGAUAUCGUGGUCAGGAAUGUACAUGAUCCACAGAACACAACCAGCAACAAUGACUCGCCAAUGCCUGCCAUACCAACAAUCCACGAAAAUCUAAUGUAGUAGAUGAUCCCCAAAAUAUUUUGCAAGCAUGGCAUAAACACUCCCAUCAGCGUGCCAG
RNAcentral lists this unclassified non-coding RNA (248 nucleotides) under Hevea brasiliensis (rubber tree). Lineage: Eukaryota; Viridiplantae; Streptophyta; Magnoliopsida; Malpighiales; Euphorbiaceae. The record is from RNAcentral.